This 497-nucleotide ribosomal RNA is filed under the name uncultured bacterium. RNAcentral describes it as "partial 16S ribosomal RNA". It matches the Rfam family "Bacterial small subunit ribosomal RNA", at positions 28 to 507 of the family's 1533-position model. The record is from RNAcentral.
GAUGAACGCUGGCGGCGUGCCUAAUACAUGCAAGUCGAGCGAACAGACGAGGAGCUUGCUCCUUUGACGUUAGCGGCGGACGGGUGAGUAACACGUGGAUAACCUACCUAUAAGACUGGGAUAACUUCGGGAAACCGGAGCUCAUACCGGAUAACAUGUUGAACCGCAUGGUUCAACAGUGAAAGACGGUCUUGCUGUCACUUAUAGAUGGAUCCGCGCCGCAUUAGCUAGUUGGUAAGGUAACGGCUUACCAAGGCAACGAUGCGUAGCCGACCUGAGAGGGUGAUCGGCCACACUGGAACUGAGACACGGUCCAGACUCCUACGGGAGGCAGCAGUAGGGAAUCUUCCGCAAUGGGCGAAAGCCUGACGGAGCAACGCCGCGUGAGUGAAGAAGGUCUUCGGAUCGUAAAACUCUGUUAUUAGGGAAGAACAAAUGUGUAAGUAACUAUGCACGUCUUGACGGUACCUAAUCAGAAAGCCACGGCUAACUACGUG